CAAGAUCGUAUAAGAGCCUCGUUCUUAGGCUACAGAACUGAUCAUUUAAUUACACGUUUAUUUUGUGUUUUCUUUGGAAUGCCAGACACAUUGCAACCUUCAUUGACCCAGGAUCCUGGACUGAAAAAACAGGAAGAGACCUUGAGUUUUUUCCUCAACAGUGUUCAGGGAAUUCCUGUGGUGUCUACAUGCUGAUGUAUGCUCUCAGCACCUGUACAUCAUGUCCAUUAACAUUCACAGAGGAGGAGGUGCCAUUGAUUCGCCAGUGGUGGUGUAUUCAGCUGAUGGAGAGGUUUUGCCUAGAAGGUUAUGGACAGAGAUUUGCAUACUGAACAGAAGAAGCAUCCCAACUCCUUCAGGGAACCCUUGAGCCUGUCUUUAGGGUGUCCAAAUCCACCACCACAAACCUGUUGCCCAGCAGAAGAGUUGUGGUUGAAGAGAACGCUGAUAAGGUGCAACAGCCGGCCAUUGUAAAAGACCUUCAUGCAGCUUGGCACUGGGUUCACAAUCACAGAGACUUAUUCCAUGGGGAUGUGAGAGAGCCUGCAUUUCUGCAAAUGAACAGGGAUGAACAACAAAAUGCCCUCAGGAAGGUCCUGGGGGGUGAAUUCUCCAAUACAAAGGAUGAAUUUUUGUUUAUAUUUCAGUGUCAAGAGGACAUGGAAGUAUUUUUGUCAUACUGUGUUGAUGAACAAGGCCUGAAGGUCAAUGCCAUGUUCCAGUGAGUGAGUCAGUGAGGGAU
Molecule: long non-coding RNA, 742 nt
Organism: Xyrauchen texanus (razorback sucker)
Lineage: Eukaryota; Metazoa; Chordata; Actinopteri; Cypriniformes; Catostomidae
Exons: 6
Source: RefSeq, a predicted model, not a curated record